CCUGGCUUAGGAUGAACGCUAGCUACAGGCUUAACACAUGCAAGUCGAGGGGCAGCAUUGGGAUAGCUUGCUAUCCAGAUGGCGACCGGCGCACGGGUGAGUAACGCGUAUCCAACCUUCCCUAUAGUAGAGAAUAGCCCGGCGAAAGUCGGAUUAAUGCUCUAUGUUGUGUUUUGAGGACAUCUGACGAACACCAAAGGUUCACCGCUAUAGGAUGGGGAUGCGUCUGAUUAGCUUGUUGGCGGGGUAACGGCCCACCAAGGCGACGAUCAGUAGGGGUUCUGAGAGGAAGGUCCCCCACAUUGGUACUGAGACACGGACCAAACUCCUACGGGAGGCAGCAGUGAGGAAUAUUGGUCAAUGGGCGAGAGCCUGAACCAGCCAAGUAGCGUGCCAGGACGACUGCCCUAUGGGUUGUAAACUGCUUUUAUCAGGGAAUAAAGUGCGGCACGUGUGCCGUUUUGUAUGUACCUGAUGAAUAAGGACCGGCUAAUUCCGUGCCAGCCGCCGC
Molecule: ribosomal RNA, 511 nt
Filed under: uncultured bacterium
Lineage: Bacteria
Description: bacterial SSU rRNA
Rfam family: Bacterial small subunit ribosomal RNA
Source: RNAcentral